This 451-nucleotide ribosomal RNA is filed under the name uncultured bacterium. RNAcentral's name for it is "bacterial SSU rRNA". It matches the Rfam family "Bacterial small subunit ribosomal RNA", at positions 29 to 523 of the family's 1533-position model. The record is from RNAcentral.
AACGAACGCUGGCGGCAUGCCUAACACAUGCAAGUCGAACGAGACCUUCGGGUCUAGUGGCGCACGGGUGCGUAACGCGUGGGAAUCUGCCCUUGGGUUCGGAAUAACAGUUAGAAAUGACUGCUAAUACCGGAUAAUGUCUUCGGACCAAAGAUUUAUCGCCCAGGGAUGAGCCCGCGUAGGAUUAGCUAGUUGGUGAGGUAAAGGCUCACCAAGGCGACGAUCCUUAGCUGGUCUGAGAGGAUGAUCAGCCACACUGGGACUGAGACACGGCCCAGACUCCUACGGGAGGCAGCAGUGGGGAAUAUUGGACAAUGGGCGAAAGCCUGAUCCAGCAAUGCCGCGUGAGUGAUGAAGGCCUUAGGGUUGUAAAGCUCUUUUACCCGGGUAUGAUAAUGACAGUACCGGGAGAAUAAAGCCCCGGCUAACUCCGUGCCAGCAGCCGCGGUAA